Molecule: ribosomal RNA, 212 nt
Filed under: uncultured bacterium
Lineage: Bacteria
Description: partial 16S ribosomal RNA
Rfam family: Bacterial small subunit ribosomal RNA
Source: RNAcentral
GAUGUGAAAGACCUUCGGCUCAACCCGAAGAAGUAGCAUCGGAAACUAGGGAAACGUUAGAGUGCAGAAGAGGACAGUGGAACGUCCAUGUGUAGCGGUGAAAUAGCGUAGAUAUAUGGAAGAACACCAGUGGCGAAGGCGGCUGUCUGGUCUGUAACUGACGCUGAGGCUCGAAAGUAUGGGGUAGCAAACAGGAUUAGAUACCCUGGUAG